This 460-nucleotide ribosomal RNA is filed under the name uncultured bacterium. RNAcentral's name for it is "partial 16S ribosomal RNA". It matches the Rfam family "Bacterial small subunit ribosomal RNA", at positions 338 to 795 of the family's 1533-position model. The record is from RNAcentral.
CCUACGGGAGGCAGCAGUGAGGAAUAUUGGUCAAUGGCCGUAAGGCUGAACCAGCCAAGUCGCGUGAAGGAAGAAGGAUCUAUGGUUUGUAAACUUCUUUUAUAGGGGAAUAAAGGUAUCCACGUGUGGAUAUUUGCAUGUACCCUAUGAAUAAGCAUCGGCUAACUCCGUGCCAGCAGCCGCGGUAAUACGGAGGAUGCGAGCGUUAUCCGGAUUUAGUGGGUUUAAAGGGUGCGUAGGUUGUUUUGUAAGUCAGCGGUGAAAGUUUGUGGCUCAACCAUAAAAUUGCCGUUGAAACUGGAAGACUUGAGUGUGUUUGAGGUAGGCGGAAUGCGUGGUGUAGCGGUGAAAUGCAUAGAUAUCACGCAGAACUCCGAUUGCGAAGGCAGCUUACUAAGCCAUAACUGACACUGAAGCACGAAAGCGUGGGGAUCAAACAGGAUUAGAUACCCCAGUAGUC